AGCGAACGCUGGCGGCAGGCCUAACACAUGCAAGUCGAACGAACUCUUCGGAGUUAGUGGCGGACGGGUGAGUAACACGUGGGAACGUGCCUUUAGGUUCGGAAUAACUCAGGGAAACUUGUGCUAAUACCGAAUGUGCCCUUCGGGGGAGAGAUUUAUCGCCGUUAGAGCGGCCCGCGUCUGAUUAGCUAGUUGGUGAGGUAAAGGCUCACCAAGGCGACGAUCAGUAGCUGGUCUGAGAGGAUGAUCAGCCACAUUGGGACUGAGACACGGCCCAAACUCCCACGUGAGGCAGCAGUGGGGAAUCUUGCGCAAUGGGCGAAAGCCUGACGCAGCCAUGCCGCGUGAAUGAUGAAGGUCUUAGGAUUGUAAAAUUCUUUCACCGGGGACGAUAAUGACGGUACCCGGAGAAGAAGCCCCGGCUAACUUCGUGCCAGCCGCCGCGGUAA
RNAcentral lists this ribosomal RNA (449 nucleotides) under uncultured bacterium. Its description in RNAcentral is "partial 16S ribosomal RNA". It matches the Rfam family "Bacterial small subunit ribosomal RNA", at positions 29 to 523 of the family's 1533-position model. The record is from RNAcentral.